RNAcentral lists this ribosomal RNA (468 nucleotides) under uncultured bacterium. Its description in RNAcentral is "partial 16S ribosomal RNA". It matches the Rfam family "Bacterial small subunit ribosomal RNA", at positions 28 to 507 of the family's 1533-position model. The record is from RNAcentral.
GACGAACGCUGGCGGCGUGCGUAAUACAUGCAAGUCGAACGUGAAGGGCUUUCCUUUUUUGUGUGGUAGAGGGGCGAACGGGUGAGUAGCCCGUGCGUAACCUGCCCUCGAGUCUGGGAUAACUUUUGGAAACUAGGGCUAAUACCGGAUAGGAGCUGCUGCUGCAUGGUUGCUGUUGCAAUGUUUCGUCGGUUCCGGAUGGACUCGCAGCCUUUCAGCCUGUUGGGGGGGUAGUGGCCUACCAAGGCCUUGACGGGUAGCCGGCCUGAGAGGGCGACCGGCCACAUUGGGACUGAGAUACGGCCCAGACUCCUACGGGAGGCCGCAGUGGGGAAUAGUGCACAAUGGGCGGAAGCCUGAUGCAGCAACGCCGCGUGCGGGAUGACGGCCUUCGGGUUGUAAACCGCUUUCGCCUGUGACGAAGCGUGAGUGACGGUAAUGGGUAAAGAAGCACCGGCUAACUACGUG